AUGUCAACUCAAAUUUCACAGGCUUCUCUGCCAAGGUGUCAUUUGUCACCACGAGCCAUAGGAAGGUUGGAAAGUUUCUACUUAACCAGAUACCUUGCUGUCCCAGACGUAAUUAUGGCCCUGUUACCAAAGGAGAACUGGAGAAUAAAUAUUAAGGCAGAAAUGUGUAACAUACCUGAAAACUUUGAUGGGUACCAAAUAUUUACGGUAUGUAGGCAUUGAAUUUUAAUUUUAUUACUCAGGACAUUUUUUCCUUAUUAGAUUGUGCUUGCUGAGGAGGAAAAUACUAAUAUCGUGUGAAUGGCAUAGAUAAUUCUCAUCUACAUUAGUUGAUUCCUGUACUGUCUAAAAGCACACGAGGCAUAAUUCUUUUUCAUUUUUUGUUAAAUAAUUAUUGCAAAUAGGCUAUAAAUUCUCCAUCUUAAAAACAAAUAAACCCAGCCUUGACCCCAUGUCCCCUUCAGCAAUGAUACCCACUCUCAUUUCUCUGUUUCUAGUUACAGCAUAUUAUAGACAGAGUGGUUUAUACUUAUAAUUUUAUUUCUUUGCUUCCUUCUUUCUCCUAACCAGGUCUUCACCCCCUCACCCUGUUGACAUCUUAUUUUCAGUUUACACGGAUUUCUGUUUUACCAAACAGGUCCACAGUUUGUCUCCUGAUCACUUGAUCGAUCAGAAAGAUUUGACACAUCAUUCCUCUCCGGAAACACUUUAUUCUGUUGACUUCCUGGGAAUCCACUUCUCCUGGGUUUUCUCUUACUACACUGGCUCAUGUUUGUCAGUCUCAUGGGCCAUGUCCUUUGCCUUUCAGACCAAAUGUUAGGUCACCCUAGGUGUUAGUCAGUCUGAGAUCCCCCUUCCUUCUUUGUUACAUGGUCACUCUCUAGAUGAUCUUAUCUAAUCCCAUGACGUUAUACUAUACGUCUGUAUACUGAUAACACCCAAAUGUAUAUUUCUGGAGCUUCCCUCCUUUGAUUUGAAUAUUCAAACUGCGUGAUUUCUCCUUUUGGAAUUAGUAUUUACAGAAAAAAACUCUUUGCUUCCUUCCCACACUUGAUUUCUGAGUGUCUUCAAUUUGAUAAAUGGCACCACCAUUUGAUAAGGGACACCGAGUUUGAUAAAUGGCAUUGAUUCUGUUGUUCAGCUCAUUUCUUACUCUUCUAUUUCUUCCCACACCCUCCUCCAGACGGUGAGUAAAUUGUGCAGCUUCUCCCUCCAAACACAUCUGGAAUUUGAUGAUGCAGCACCUGCUUCAACCACUAUCCAUCUUUCUCCUGAACAGCUGUAAUU
This 1287-nucleotide long non-coding RNA is filed under the name Canis lupus familiaris (dog). Its description in RNAcentral is "lncRNA (ENSCAFG00030008376.1)". The record is from RNAcentral. Lineage: Eukaryota; Metazoa; Chordata; Mammalia; Carnivora; Canidae.